UUCGAUUAAGCCAUGCGAGUCUAAGGGGUACUUGUACCCCUGGCAUAAUGCUCAGUAACACGUGGAUAAUCUACCCUUAGGUGGGGCAUAAACCCGGGAAACUGGGGCUAAUUCCCCAUAGAUACAGAACGCUGGAAUGCCUCUGUAUUCAAAGCUCCGGCGCCUAAGGAUGAGUCUGCGACCUAUCAGGUAGUAGUCAGGGUCACGACCUGACUAGCCAACGACGGGUACGGGGUGUGAGAGCACUUGCCCGGAGAUGGUUUCUGAGACACGAAACCAGGCCCUACGGGGCGCAGCAGGCGCGAAAACUUCGCAAUGCGGGAAACCGUGACGAGGGAACUCCAAGUGUCUAUGCAAUGCAUAGACUGUUUUUCAGCCUAAAUAGCUGUUAGAGUAAGGGGUGGGUAAGACCGGUGCCAGCCGCCGCGGUAACACCGGCACCCCGAGUGGUAGCCACUAUUAUUGGGCCUAAAGCGUUCGUAGCCGGUUUAGUAAAUUCUUGGGUAAAUCGUACAGCUUAACUGUGCGGAUUCCGGGGACACUACUAGACUUGAGACCGGGAGAGAUUAGAGGUACUUGCAGGGGAGCGGUGAAAUGUUGUAAUCCUGCAAGGACCACCAGUGGCGAAGGCGUCUAAUCAUAACGGCUCUGACGGUGAGGAACGAAACCCUGGGGCGCAAACGGGAUUAGAUACCCCGGUAGUCCAGGGCGUAAACGCUGCUGACUUGGUGUUGGAGAUCCUACGAGGGUGUCCAGUGCUGGCGCGAAGGUAUUAAGUCAGCCGCCUGGGGAGUACGGUCGCAAGACUGAAACUUAAAGGAAUUGGCGGGGGAGCACUGCAACGUGUGGAGCGUGCG
RNAcentral lists this ribosomal RNA (857 nucleotides) under uncultured archaeon. Its description in RNAcentral is "bacterial SSU rRNA". It matches the Rfam family "Archaeal small subunit ribosomal RNA", at positions 39 to 899 of the family's 1478-position model. The record is from RNAcentral.